This is a long non-coding RNA of Drosophila subpulchrella, 1006 nucleotides long. RefSeq lists it as uncharacterized. The record is from RefSeq and is a predicted model, not a curated record. The transcript has 3 exons. Lineage: Eukaryota; Metazoa; Arthropoda; Insecta; Diptera; Drosophilidae.
UGCUCGAGUGUCCUCGUCAAAGGUUCCCACACACGCCUCGUCCUGGCACCCUCCCCCUCCCUCUCCUCACCCUCCUCUUUAUCGCAUGCCGAUGCACACACGCACACGGACAAAGCCCGUUGAUUGUGCGAUCGCUCUCUGUUUGUUUGUAAUUUAAAUUCUCAUGCACUUCUGGCGAUCGCCUAUGAAGGAGGAGGAGGGGAGGGGGAGGAACUAACCACCACCAUCGGAGGGUCCUGCGUCCUACGUCCUACUCCGCCUGCUUUGGUGGUGGUUUCCUUCCUUCCUUCCUCCCGAUCGAACCAACUUCCCCCUUUUGCACGUGGAUUUCGACUAAACGCCGUCUGCGCGACAUCAAGGUGAUCGUGAGAAAGUUUUUUUCUCACAUUAUUCCGCAGCGACUCCUGUUUUAAUUUUAGCCUCUGUCGGAAUUAUUAUGCAUUUAUGAAUUGAUAUGACUCGCGGUGGCUCGAUUUUUACCCUGGGGGAUGACUGUACUUAUUGGAAGAUUUACAGUUGUUGUCGUCAGGGGAAAGAGAAAUUCUGUAGUGUCAACUCCCCUGUGAUACAUGUUACGAGAGUAAAAGGGUAUAUGUAUUAGAUUCGUCGGAAAGAACUUAAAAGGUAGAAGGAAGCGCUUCCGACCCUAUUAAGUACAAUUCUUCAUCAGGAUCACUAGCCGAGUCGAUGAGCCGAAUAUCUAUUCUAGAGAUUCCUGCGCAGCCCCAUUAUUUUUCAGAGUGCCACGCCCACAAACCGCCCAAAGCUGUGGCUCCUACAAUUUUAGUGCUAGAACAAAAAUUGUAGCUGGAAUGUAUUGAUCUUGUCAAUACCUAUCAAUUAAAAUUAUUAAAUCGGACCACUAGUUAAUAAGUAAUGACCUUACGCCCGUAUCUGGAAAGAACAUCGUCAAAAUGUCGCCACGGCCAUUAAAUAAAAGUGAAAAGUGUAAAAUGUAAAAAUGCAAAGUAGAUAAAAAUUCAAGCAUCGUUUUGCCUCUACUUGA